Molecule: unclassified non-coding RNA, 253 nt
Filed under: uncultured bacterium
Lineage: Bacteria
Description: contains 16S-23S intergenic spacer region
Rfam family: Bacterial small subunit ribosomal RNA
Source: RNAcentral
UACAGAGAUGGCAAGCGUUGUUCGGAUUUAUUGGGUGUAAAGGGCAGGUAGGUGGCCGUGCAAGUCUGAUGUGAAAGCCUAGGGCUCAACCCUGGAAAUGCAUCAGAAACUACAUGGCUUGAGUGUCGGAGAGGUGAGGGGAAUUCCCGGUGUAAGGGUGAAAUCUGUAGAUAUCGGGAGGAACACCAGUGGCGAAGGCGCCUCACUGGCCGACAACUGACACUGAGCUGCGAAAGCUAGGGGAGCAAACAGG